This is a non-coding RNA of Trichobilharzia regenti, 45 nucleotides long. The record is from Rfam. Lineage: Eukaryota; Metazoa; Platyhelminthes; Trematoda; Strigeidida; Schistosomatidae.
AUCCAGAUGAGGAGUUCCAAAUAGGACUGAAUGCGCAUCCUGGAU